GGAUUAGAUACCCUGGUAGUCCACGCCGUAAACGAUGAGAACUAGACGUUGGCUGACAUAGUCGGCCAGUGUCGCAGCAAACGCGUUAAGUUCUCCGCCUGGGGAGUACGGCCGCAAGGUUGAAACUCAAAGGAAUUGACGGGGGCCCGCACAAGCGGUGGAGCAUGUGGUUUAAUUCGAUGCAACGCGAAGAACCUUACCUGCCCUUGACAUACCGUGAAUUUUCCAGAGAUGGAUUAGUGCCUUCGGGAACACGGAUACAGGUGCUGCAUGGCUGUCGUCAGCUCGUGUCG
RNAcentral lists this ribosomal RNA (293 nucleotides) under uncultured bacterium. RNAcentral's name for it is "partial 16S ribosomal RNA". It matches the Rfam family "Bacterial small subunit ribosomal RNA", at positions 775 to 1067 of the family's 1533-position model. The record is from RNAcentral.